Molecule: ribosomal RNA, 466 nt
Filed under: uncultured bacterium
Lineage: Bacteria
Description: bacterial SSU rRNA
Rfam family: Bacterial small subunit ribosomal RNA
Source: RNAcentral
GCCAGACUCCUACGGGAGGCAGCAGUGAGGAAUAUUGGUCAAUGGGCGGAAGCCUGAACCAGCCAAGUCGCGUGAGGGACUAAGGCCCUGCGGGUCGUAAACCUCUUUUGCCGGGGAGCAGUGGUCCGGACGCGUCCGGACCGGGAGAGUACCCGGAGAAAAAGCAUCGGCUAACUCCGUGCCAGCAGCCGCGGUAAUACGGAGGAUGCGAGCGUUAUCCGGAUUUAUUGGGUUUAAAGGGUGCGUAGGCGGAGUGUCAAGUCAGCGGUAAAAUUUCGGGGCUCAACCCCGUCGUGCCGUUGAAACUGACACCCUUGAGUGAGUGAGAAGUAAGCGGAAUGCGUGGUGUAGCGGUGAAAUGCAUAGAUAUCACGCAGAACGCCGAUUGCGAAGGCAGCUUACCAGCGCUCAACUGACGCUGAGGCACGAAAGUGCGGGUAUCGAACAGGAUUAGAUACCCCAGUAC